RNAcentral lists this ribosomal RNA (616 nucleotides) under uncultured bacterium. RNAcentral describes it as "bacterial SSU rRNA". It matches the Rfam family "Bacterial small subunit ribosomal RNA", at positions 56 to 663 of the family's 1533-position model. The record is from RNAcentral.
UGCAGUCGAGCGGAACGAUGAAGAGCUUGCUCUUUAGGCGUCGAGCGGCGGACGGGUGAGUAAUGCUUGGGAAUAUGCCUUAUGGUGGGGGACAACAGUUGGAAACGACUGCUAAUACCGCAUAACGUCUACGGACCAAAGGGGGGGAUCUUCGGACCUCUCGCCAUUUGAUUAGCCCAAGUGAGAUUAGCUAGUAGGUGAGGUAAGAGCUCACCUAGGCGACGAUCUCUAGCUGGUUUGAGAGGAUGAUCAGCCACACUGGGACUGAGACACGGCCCAGACUCCUACGGGAGGCAGCAGUGGGGAAUAUUGCACAAUGGGGGAAACCCUGAUGCAGCCAUGCCGCGUGUGUGAAGAAGGCCUUCGGGUUGUAAAGCACUUUCAGUUGUGAGGAAAGGGGUGUCGUUAAUAGCGGCAUUCUGUGACGUUAACAACAGAAGAAGCACCGGCUAACUUCGUGCCAGCAGCCGCGGUAAUACGAGGGGUGCAAGCGUUAAUCGGAAUUACUGGGCGUAAAGCGUACGUAGGCGGUCUAUUAAGCAAGAUGUGAAAGCCCAGGGCUCAACCUUGGAACUGCAUUUUGAACUGGUAGACUAGAGUACUGUAGAGGGUGGUG